RNAcentral lists this ribosomal RNA (468 nucleotides) under uncultured bacterium. RNAcentral describes it as "partial 16S ribosomal RNA". It matches the Rfam family "Bacterial small subunit ribosomal RNA", at positions 28 to 507 of the family's 1533-position model. The record is from RNAcentral.
GACGAACGCUGGCGGCGUGCCUAACACAUGCAAGUCGAACGGAAAGGCCCUGCGUUUGUGGGGUGCUUGAUUGGCGAACGGGUGAGUAACACGUGAGUAACCUGCCCUUGACUUUGGGAUAACUUCAGGAAACUGGGGCUAAUACCGGAUAGGAGCUCCUGCUGCAUGGUGGGGGUUGGAAAGUUUCGGCGGUUGGGGAUGGCUUGGCGGGUUAUCGGCUGGUUGGGGGGGUAGUGGAUUACGACGGCUUUGACGGGUAGGCGGCCUGGGAGGGUGGCCGGCCACAUGGGGACUGCGAUACGGCCCAGACUCCUACGGGAGGCAGCAGUGGGGAAUAUUGCACAAUGGGCGGACGCCUGAUGCAGCAACGCCGCGUGCGGGAUGACGGCCUUCGGGUUGUAAACCGCUUUCGCCUGUGACGAAGCGUGCGUGACGGUAAUGGGUAAAGAAGCACCGGCUAACUACGUG